GUCUUCGGACUUUGAGACCGGCGCACGGGUGCGUAACGCGUAUGCAAUCUACCUUACACUAAGGGAUAGCCCAGAGAAAUUUGGAUUAAUACCUUAUAGUAUAUGAUGUGGACAUCCACGACAUAUUAAAGUUCCAACGGUGUAAGAUGAGCAUGCGUCCCAUUAGCUUGUUGGUGUGGUAACGGCACACCAAGGCAAUGAUGGGUAGGGGUCCUGAGAGGGAGAUCCCCCACACUGGUACUGAGACACGGACCAGACUCCUACGGGAGGCAGCAGUGAGGAAUAUUGGUCAAUGGGCGCAAGCCUGAACCAGCCAUGCCGCGUGCAGGAUGAAGCAUCUAUGGUGUGUAAACUGCUUUUGUACGGGAAGAAACCCUGCCACGUGUGGCAGAUUGACGGUACCGUAAGAAUAAGGAUCGGCUAACUCCGUGCCAGCAGCCGCGGUAAUACGGAGGAUCCAAGCGUUAUCCGGAAUCAUUGGGUUUAAAGGGUCCGUAGGCGGUUUUAUAAGUCAGUGGUGAAAUCCGGCAGCUCAACUGUCGAACUGCCAUUGAUACUGUAGGACUUGAAUUAUUGUGAAGUAACUAGAAUAUGUAGUGUAGCGGUGAAAUGCUUAGAUAUUACAUGGAAUACCCAUUGCGAAGGCAGGUUACUAACAAUAUAUUGACGCUGAUGGACGAAGGC
Molecule: ribosomal RNA, 684 nt
Filed under: uncultured Bacteroidota bacterium
Lineage: Bacteria; Pseudomonadati; Bacteroidota
Description: bacterial SSU rRNA
Rfam family: Bacterial small subunit ribosomal RNA
Source: RNAcentral